Molecule: ribosomal RNA, 468 nt
Filed under: uncultured bacterium
Lineage: Bacteria
Description: partial 16S ribosomal RNA
Rfam family: Bacterial small subunit ribosomal RNA
Source: RNAcentral
GACGAACGCUGGCGGCGUGCUUAACACAUGCAAGUCGAACGGAAAGGCCCUGCUUUUGUGGGGUGCUCGAGUGGCGAACGGGUGAGUAACACGUGAGUAACCUGCCCUUGACUUUGGGAUAACUUCAGGAAACUGGGGCUAAUACCGGAUAGGAGCUCCUGCUGCAUGGUGGGGGUUGGAAAGUUUCGGCGGUUGGGGAUGGACUCGCGGCUUAUCCGCUUGUUGGGGGGGUAGUGGCUUACCAAGGCUUUGACGGGUAGCCGGCCUGAGAGGGUGACCGGCCACAUUGGGACUGAGGUACGGCCCAGACUGCUACGGUAGGCAGCAGGGGGGAAUAUUGCACAGUGGGCGGAAGCCUGAUGCAGCGACGCCGCGUGCGGGAUGACGGCCUUCGGGUUGUAAACCGCUUUCGCCUGUGACGAAGCGUGAGUGACGGUAAUGGGUAAAGAAGCACCGGCUAACUACGUG